Ribosomal RNA from Protopterus annectens (West African lungfish), 155 nucleotides. RefSeq annotates it as 5.8S ribosomal RNA. The record is from RefSeq and is a predicted model, not a curated record. The transcript has a single exon. Lineage: Eukaryota; Metazoa; Chordata; Ceratodontiformes; Protopteridae.
GACUCUGAGCGGUGGAUCACUCGGCUUGUGCAUCGCUGAAGAAUGCAGCUAGCUUUGAGAACUAAUGUGAAUUGCAGGACACAUUGAUCAUUGAUACUUUGACUGCACUUUGCGGCCUCCUGGUUACUCCUGGGGCUAUGCCUGUCUGAGGGUCG